CAUAUUAAUGUUAAAAAACCUCAUAAAGUGAAAUUUUCAUGCCAUGGGACCAUUAAUGUUUUAUACAACCAGGUAAUCACUCAAUAUGCUCUCUGGGCAAAUACAAUCAAUCAACUUUAGAAUGCCAUUGCCAAUUAAACUUGACAUAGACACAAAUAAUUGUUUUUUUUCUCCAAAAUCUGAUAGUUAUUUUUGGGUUUUCUGAGGUGUUAUUGGAGCUGGCUCACCAACAUCCUUGUUUAGAUUUUUUUCCAGCUGUGAGCAGCUCUUUCAUUUCAUUUCAUUUCGUUGCUUUGUGGGAGAAUAUUGUCUACAACAGUACACUCACAAAUCUAGUGCUUUUUAGUAUGAGUCCUGUCUAUUUAGCCAUGCUGGUUUCGGUCAGUCCACCACUUUGAUUCAGACUGAAAUAUCCCAACAAACAAAUUUUCAUCUGCUGACCUUGGUGAUUCCGUGACAUCUUCCUCUAGCGCCACCAUGAGGUUUACAUUUGUUUUUUUUCAGUGAAAUGUCUCAAGAAUUAUUGGAAAUUUGCCCCUUUCGGGUUAUCCUGCACGGCAGCUGGAUUCUCACGAGAUCACGCUACAAUCGUGUGAUCACAUAUCACACGAUAAUCCAUACGUCAUGCUUCAAGUAAUGCUUUUUGUGUCUGAACUCCCAACUAACUGAACCAAUCAGCGUCCGGUGAGGAGCUACUAGCAGCUACGGGCGUGGUUUAGGAGCGUGUGACAGCCGCGACUGUUCGUUCAAAACAACCAGGGGUGUCAGACUGGGAGUGGAAAGGGCCUGAGUGCUCAGGGCCCCUCAUGUGAGGAGGACCCAAAAAGAUGCUUGAAUGAAUAGCUGUGGAUGUGGGGAGAGGCCCAUAGAAUAUGUCUUUCUACAGGGCCCAGAACGUUAUGCUACGCCCCUGAAAACAACAAUGGUGGACGUGAUAGACGGAUGGUUCAUCGAAUCACCUGCCAGGUAUUUUUUUUUAAAGUGCCUGCCCUUUCUAAACAGUUUCCAAUGACGGCUUCUCAGAUCAUUCAGUUUAUCUCUCAGGACCAUGAGGUAAAAUUUUCUUAUGACCAUCUACUGCAAAACUAAUUACAUUUCUGUCAAUCUGUUGUCCUAUCCAUGCAAAAACAGUUAGUCAAUACAUUGCAAUUUUAAGCUCUUGUGCCGUGCCACUUUUCAUGUAAUACCACCUGUAUUAGGGCACAGGGCACUGCACAAGAGCCUGAAAAUCGUGCCCAAUGUUCAGCCAAUUUCCAACACUAUUUAUUUCUGAUAAUCCCACUUACUGUGCAAAUCUUUAUAUGUGGCUCUUGAAAAGCAAAUCACAGUAAUCAUCUGUCACAAGGUCAGUCCUGCUUUUCCCCCAUUCUACUCCUGUCACUCCUUUCAGCCACCUCCUCAUUUCCGCAGCACCCUGCAGUGCCAUUUUCCACCCAUCCACCAGAUGCCCUAAGACUUUUCCACUCAUCCCAAUCAACUGACCCUCUCAUUUACCUGCUCACCUGUUUCCACUUUCUCUCAUCAGCCCUGCAGUGUAUUAUCGGCGCAUUUCAUUUUCCCUGCCAGGUUGCCAGUGUUUCUACAUGGCUUGUUUUCCAGCGACCUGAACCUGAAUCCUAAACCCUGGAAUCUGGAACCUGGAACCUGUACCUGCCUAGUCAGCGCUGGGGAGAAUAACAGCAGGUUGCAGUGCCAGAGGUGAGCAAGGUGACAGCAGUGAAGCAGACGUUCGCGUUGCUGCUACUCCAUUAUCGUAUUAAACCCCAAGCAGUGAGGCGCCACACAGGGAGCUGCAAACAUCUCCUCCUCCCCGCCGAUGAGCCUUUGCUCAACUGCCAGCGUCGUCAGUAGUCGAGCAAAGCAAACUGGUGGCGCAGCCAGCCUGCAAAUUACUGCCAAGGCAGUUGGUGUCAGUGAGGGGAACAAGUUGUCAACGCUGCACGUCUCUCAACAUCUCUGUUUCUUCGGGAUAAAUCAACUGAACAUGUUUUUAAAUCCCCUUCCUCCUCACUUGUAAACAUGACUUUUGUUUGUAUGAACGGAGCAUACGUGUUUAGGUGAGCCAGGCACGGCGUCAUUGUGAAUGGCUGAGCUAAAUCUAUCCACCGGAGAAUAAUGUAUACCCAUGCGUGCUGAAUGGUUUUGAUUAUGGAACAAUCUGUUACUCGCGUUGCAUGGUUCAUGGCAAACAUCCUGCCAUAUAUCAAACAACUGUCUGAAUCUGCUUGGCCGGUCACAGAUGUCCAAAUCGCUCUUUCAUCCUGUUUAUCUAGAAAUGUAUCUCUGAUUUACUCUGGUGGCUCAAUUAUAGGCACAUAUGUUUACAUCCACAAGCUGUGAUUGAUUAUUUUGAUAAGAGUUUUGUCCCUGAGGUAGUUUGAGGAGUAUAAUGUUGUGCUGCAGCGCAAUGAAAUGCCAUCAUAUUGUGUCUUUAUUCUGAAACCUUUUACGUUUAAAUAUACUGCACAAGAUUGAUCAAAAAAGACUUCAAAUUACACUGCACAAUGUAAAACCA
Molecule: long non-coding RNA, 2515 nt
Organism: Perca fluviatilis (European perch)
Lineage: Eukaryota; Metazoa; Chordata; Actinopteri; Perciformes; Percidae
Exons: 3
Source: RefSeq, a predicted model, not a curated record